Molecule: ribosomal RNA, 633 nt
Filed under: Salmonella enterica subsp. enterica serovar Weltevreden
Lineage: Bacteria; Pseudomonadati; Pseudomonadota; Gammaproteobacteria; Enterobacterales; Enterobacteriaceae
Also listed under: 1 other name
Description: partial 23S ribosomal RNA
Rfam family: Bacterial large subunit ribosomal RNA
Source: RNAcentral
AGACCCGAAACCCGGUGAUCUAGCCAUGGGCAGGUUGAAGGUUGGGUAACACUAACUGGAGGACCGAACCGACUAAUGUUGAAAAAUUAGCGGAUGACCUGUGGCUGGGGGUGAAAGGCCAAUCAAACCGGGAGAUAGCUGGUUCUCCCCGAAAGCUAUUUAGGUAGCGCCUCGUGAAUUCAUCUCCGGGGGUAGAGCACUGUUUCGGCUAGGGGGCCAUCCCGGCUUACCAACCCGAUGCAAACUGCGAAUACCGGAGAAUGUUAUCACGGGAGACACACGGCGGGUGCUAACGUCCGUCGUGAAGAGGGAAACAACCCAGACCGCCAGCUAAGGUCCCAAAGUCAUGGUUAAGUGGGAAACGAUGUGGGAAGGCCCAGACAGCCAGGAUGUUGGCUUAGAAGCAGCCAUCAUUUAAAGAAAGCGUAAUAGCUCACUGGUCGAGUCGGCCUGCGCGGAAGAUGUAACGGGGCUAAACCAUGCACCGAAGCUGCGGCAGCGACGCUUAUGCGUUGUUGGGUAGGGGAGCGUUCUGUAAGCCUGUGAAGGUGGCCUGUGAGGGUUGCUGGAGGUAUCAGAAGUGCGAAUGCUGACAUAAGUAACGAUAAAGCGGGUGAAAAGCCCGCUCGCCGG